UGAGGAAUAUUGCGCAAUGGGGGCAACCCUGACGCAGCAACGCCGCGUGUGGGAAGAAGGCUUUCGGGUUGUAAACCACUUUUGCCCGGGACGAAAGGGGGGGCCUGAAUAAGGUCACCCGAUGACGGUACCGGGAGAAUAAGCCACGGCUAACUCUGUGCCAGCAGCCGCGGUAAGACAGAGGUGGCAAGCGUUGUUCGGAGUUACUGGGCGUAAAGAGUCUGUAGGUGGUCUGUCAAGUCUUUGGUGAAAGGCCGUGGCUUAACCAUGGGAAUGCCAAAGAGACUGGCAGACUGGAGGCUGGGAGAGGGAAGCGGAAUUUCUGGUGUAGCGGUGAAAUGCGUAGAUAUCAGAAGGAAGGCCGGUGGCGAAGGCGGCUUCCUGGAACAGACCUGACACUGAGAGACGAAAGCGUGGGGAGCAAACAGG
This 429-nucleotide ribosomal RNA is filed under the name Leptospirillum ferriphilum. Its description in RNAcentral is "bacterial SSU rRNA". It matches the Rfam family "Bacterial small subunit ribosomal RNA", at positions 355 to 776 of the family's 1533-position model. Lineage: Bacteria; Pseudomonadati; Nitrospirota; Nitrospiria; Nitrospirales; Nitrospiraceae. The record is from RNAcentral.